Non-coding RNA from Picea glauca (white spruce), 192 nucleotides. The record is from Rfam. Lineage: Eukaryota; Viridiplantae; Streptophyta; Pinopsida; Pinales; Pinaceae.
GCUCUGUGUGGGGAGUUCCAUUCAGUUCAAUCAUGGGUGCAAAGAAGUGGAUGCAGCUGCCACUUCAUGCAUCUGACUAGACUAUUGUGUGCGUUUAUUAUAAUAGCUUAGUCCCAUGCUUGAUGCGGGAGCUGAUUCUAUCGCUUCCUCCGUCCCUCGAUUGGACUGAAGGGAGCUCCCCACUCACUCUGG